AAAUCUACCCUGAUGUCUGGGAUAACCAGCCGAAAGGCUGACUAAUACCGGCUAUAUGCUACCCUGUUGGGGGUAUCAGGAAAGGUGGCCUCUUCUUGAAAGCUAUCGCAUUGGGAUGAGUUUGCGUAUCAUUAGCUAGUUGGUGGGGUAAUGGCCCACCAAGGCUUCGAUGGUUAGCGGGUCUGAGAGGAUGAUCCGUCACACUGGCACUGGAACACGGGCCAG
RNAcentral lists this ribosomal RNA (225 nucleotides) under uncultured bacterium. Its description in RNAcentral is "partial 16S ribosomal RNA". It matches the Rfam family "Bacterial small subunit ribosomal RNA", at positions 122 to 334 of the family's 1533-position model. The record is from RNAcentral.